CGACCGGCGCACGGGUGCGUAACGCGUAUGCAACCUACCUUUAACAGGGGGAUAACACUGAGGAAUUGGUACUAAUACCCCAUAAUAUCAUAGAAGGCAUCUUUUAUGGUUGAAAAUUCCGAUGGUUAGAGAUGGGCAUGCGUUGUAUUAGCUAGUUGGUGGGGUAACGGCUCACCAAGGCGACGAUACAUAGGGGGACUGAGAGGUUAACCCCCCACACUGGUACUGAGACACGGACCAG
RNAcentral lists this ribosomal RNA (241 nucleotides) under uncultured bacterium. RNAcentral's name for it is "partial 16S ribosomal RNA". It matches the Rfam family "Bacterial small subunit ribosomal RNA", at positions 92 to 334 of the family's 1533-position model. The record is from RNAcentral.